This 269-nucleotide unclassified non-coding RNA is filed under the name plant metagenome. RNAcentral's name for it is "partial contains small subunit ribosomal RNA, internal transcribed spacer 1, and 5.8S ribosomal RNA". The record is from RNAcentral.
UUUCCGUAGGUGAACCUGCGGAAGGAUCAUUAAUGAGUUGUCAUGGGGUUCGAUGCUGGCAGCCAAUUUUUGGAUGCAUGUGCUUGCCCUAACAAUCAUCUUCCAAACACCUGUGCACAUUCUUGAGGGAGUCUUGAGUUGGUUGCCGCUCUUGGGUGAUUUUCUCACAUUCCCUUAAACCAUUAUACGCUAUUAACAAUGUUGAACGUGCUCUGUGCCGCAAGGCUAUUAAUAUAAUACAACUUUUAACAACGGAUCUCUUGGCUCUC